Non-coding RNA from Arvicanthis niloticus (Nile rat), 485 nucleotides. Lineage: Eukaryota; Metazoa; Chordata; Mammalia; Rodentia; Muridae. The record is from RefSeq and is a predicted model, not a curated record.
AACAGAAGAGGCGGCUCGGAAGUGACGACACCGAGCACGCCAUUAAAUAGCAGUAGGCCGUACUCCCCGCUCUCUCCGUCUUAGCGCCAUCUUCCUUGAGACUCCUGCGCCAUGAGAGCGAAGUGGCGGAAGAAGAGAAUGCGCAGGCUGAAGCGCAAGAGAAGAAAGAUGAGGCAGAGGUCCAAGUAGAACCAGCUCGUGCACCCACGACGCCUGCGGGAGCAGAAGCGAGGGAUGCUGCAGGCCGGGACACCGGGGACAAGCUGUUGGACUGUAGCUGCUGUCGGUACUGAGUCUCGGCAGACCCGGAACGUCGUCACCUCGCCGAGAUCACCUGGGGAAAUGACUGCCUUUCUUACAACCAAACCCAGUCCCGCUGGCCCUCCGCCCCGGACCUCUGGCAUUCCGGACUAGUUCUGUUCUCUGUUGUGGCCAAGUGUAACUCGUGUACAAUAAACCCUCUUGCUGUCAGCUGAAGAAUCAAA